UCAGCAGCCGCGGUAAUACGUAGGUGGCAAACGUUGUCCGGAAUUAUUGGGCGUAAAGCGCGCGCAGGCGGGAUAUUAAGUCUGUUUUAAAAGUUCGGGGCUCAACCCCGUGAUGGAAUGGAAACUAAUAUUCUUGAGUGCAGGAGAGGAAAGUGGAAUUCCCAGUGUAGCGGUGAAAUGCGUAGAUAUUGGGAGGAACACCAGUGGCGAAGGCGACUUUCUGGACUGUGUCUGACGCUGAGGCGCGAAAGCCAGGGGAGUGAACGGGAUUAGAUACCCCGGUAAUCCUGGCCGUAAACGAUGGGUACUAGGUGUAGGAGGUAUCGACCCCUUCUGUGCCGGAGUUAACGCAAUAAGUACCCCGCCUGGGGAGUACGGCCGCAAGGUUGAAACUCAAAGGAAUUGACGGGGGCCCGCACAAGCGGUGGAGUAUGUGGUUUAAUUCGACGCAACGCGAAGAACCUUACCAGGACCUGACAUCGAUUGAAAUACCUAGAGAUAGGUACCUUCCCUUCGGGGAACAAGAAGACAGGUGGUGCAUGGCUGUCGUCAGCUCGUGUCGUGAGAUGUUGGGUUAAGUCCCGCAACGAGCGCAACCCUUAUCCUAUGUUGCCAGCGAGUAAAGUCGGGAACUCAUGGGAGACUGCCGCAGACAAUGCGGAGGAAGGCGGGGAUGACGUCAAGUCAUCAUGCCCCUUAUGUCCUGNGCUACACACGUACUACAAUGGGCUUAAAUAGAGGGAAGCGAAGC
Molecule: ribosomal RNA, 751 nt
Filed under: uncultured Veillonellaceae bacterium
Lineage: Bacteria; Bacillati; Bacillota; Negativicutes; Veillonellales; Veillonellaceae
Description: bacterial SSU rRNA
Rfam family: Bacterial small subunit ribosomal RNA
Source: RNAcentral